UCCUACGGGAGGCAGCAGUGGGGAAUUUUGGACAAUGGGCGAAAGCCUGAUGCAGCAACGCCGCGUGAGGGACGACGGCCUUCGGGUUGUAAACCUCUUUUAGCAGGGAAGAAGCGAAAGUGACGGUAAUGGGUAAAGAAGCACCGGCUAACUACGUGCCAGCAGCCGCGGUA
This 173-nucleotide ribosomal RNA is filed under the name uncultured Microbacterium sp. RNAcentral's name for it is "partial 16S ribosomal RNA". It matches the Rfam family "Bacterial small subunit ribosomal RNA", at positions 337 to 522 of the family's 1533-position model. The record is from RNAcentral. Lineage: Bacteria; Bacillati; Actinomycetota; Actinomycetes; Micrococcales; Microbacteriaceae.